This 212-nucleotide ribosomal RNA is filed under the name Clostridioides difficile. RNAcentral's name for it is "partial 16S ribosomal RNA". It matches the Rfam family "Bacterial small subunit ribosomal RNA", at positions 1 to 220 of the family's 1533-position model. The record is from RNAcentral. Lineage: Bacteria; Bacillati; Bacillota; Clostridia; Peptostreptococcales; Peptostreptococcaceae.
UUUUAUUUGAGAGUUUGAUCCUGGCUCAGGAUGAACGCUGGCGGCGUGCCUAACACAUGCAAGUUGAGCGAUUUACUUCGGUAAAGAGCGGCGGACGGGUGAGUAACGCGUGGGUAACCUACCCUGUACACACGGAUAACAUACCGAAAGGUAUGCUAAUACGGGAUAAUAUAUUUGAGAGGCAUCUCUUAAAUAUCAAAGGUGAGCCAGUA